CGCUUUAGUCUCCGACCGUGCGUUUCGACAGGUGGCGUGCCGUUCUCGCCACACGGUAGAGUCCUAAUAGUCCCCGUAUUCGCGUAUCGUAGUAGUCCUAAUAUAGUCUAAUAGUCGUGCGGUAGACGGAACCUAACCUAGGUACCGACCACUUCGUCGCUAGGUACCGCGUCGGUGUAGACGUGUUCGUAACGAAGAAGACGAGGAGCAGGGUGAGCAAGAUGACGAGCAGCCACGCUUUUGUACCUCGGCCUCCUCGUUCGUCGCCGACUUGGACGGCGAGGGUGGAAGGGGAGGCGCGCGCGAGGGCCACUAGCCCGUGGAGGUGGAGCAGCCGAGGGAGGGAGUGCAGAGGAAGGCGCUGGAGAGGGUAUUUGUGCCGGCCCUGGAGUACGAGGAGGCGGAGCCGCGCCACUUGUGCCACCAGCACAGGAGCGGCGCGCGCCGGCGCAGGUAGGAGGCGUGCGUGCUGGUGCGCGACCGCAGGUCCAGCGCGAGGCGGCAGCGGCUGUAGUAGAAGAUGUUCGCCUGGCUGCAGCGGAAGCGCGGGAUGCCGCUCGGGACCUCUGUCCGGUCCUUCCACCAGUGGUGCGUGUACGAGUCGCGGUUCUUCCACGUGAGCAAGGCGGUGCUGGCGCUCCUCCUCCGCGCGUAUCGGCACCGGUUCUAAGCGCGGCGCCGCCGCUGGCGCCUCUGGCGCCGCGGCCACCUGUACUCGCUCGAGGACCCGAGCAUGCGCUUGCUGCACCACACGGCCCGCCACGAGCCCUCUUUGGUGGCGCUGCUACCGUCCUUGUUCGACGAGGCGGUCGACUAGCUGCAGUUGUACAGCGAGGACCCUCCCAAGUUGCAACUCCUAAUGAAGGGCUCGAACCGUCACCGCCUGCACAAGUGGCCGUACCACCACACGGGGUCCCGAUCCUCCCAAGCGUUCUCCACCCUGUUUGACGAGGUGUUCGAGUAGCUGCUCGUGCCCGCGGUCGCGCUCGUCCUGCUACGGUCGCGUCUGAAGUAUGUGCACAACGAGCGGGUCGUCCUUCUCAUGCCGGAGUGGUGUCUGUUGCAGUUCCGCUAGAACGACCUGUACAAACUUCGCCCCUGUCUCUGCUGUAUAGACCACGACCUUAAGCGCUACCGUCUCGACUACUUGUUGGGCGUGCAGUACCGGUUUGACGUUCGCCUCCACUCCUCCUCCGCACGCGGUCGCCACCGGCAUCCGUUCCUGCUUCCUCUAAAUGUUGUUCUGCACCAGUGUCUCCUCCUCGAGCCGCUGUACCGGAUGGACUUCCGGUGGCACUUCCUCUGCGACUCCGACGUGGGCGGCCACGGCGACGAGGAGGCCAGGAGGGGGUGGAGAGCUAGCGGCUGACGCUCCAGCUGCCGAUGCGCUAGGGACGGCCCUGCGCCGAGUACCAGUUGCGCACCCGGGAGCGCUCCCUGGGGCGCAGGACCCUCCGCGGCCUGCUCAAGCGCGGCCUCUCCAAAGAGGUCCCUCCGUCGCGCCGCCGCCAGCUGUCGUUCCCUUUCCUGAAACUCAAAGACGGCAAGCCCAGGCCCGCCUCCUAGACGGGGCCGUAUUUGAAGCGCUUGUGACGGCAACUCUACUACGAUCGCUUGGAAUACAUGGUAAAGCUGACCCUCGACGGCCGCCCCUGCUUCCUCCAGCUGUACUCACUCCACAAGUCGAACAGCUAGGCGGCAUUCCUCUUCGAGGAGGAACAAGGUUGAGGUUCUAGAACGGCGCUCCUCACUCCCCCACGAACAACAAAGCUUUUUUGUAAAUUAAUCCACACACGUUAGUUAGGCGUAUACGAGGUUCUGGAAUGUUCUAUUAUGUAUUUUUCAGUCUUCGGUGAUAGAGUGUUGUAAACAGCUAUAAAGAUAGUUGAAUUACUUCCCCAC
RNAcentral lists this ribosomal RNA (1902 nucleotides) under Triticum aestivum (bread wheat). RNAcentral describes it as "partial small subunit ribosomal RNA". The record is from RNAcentral. Lineage: Eukaryota; Viridiplantae; Streptophyta; Magnoliopsida; Poales; Poaceae.